Molecule: ribosomal RNA, 434 nt
Filed under: uncultured bacterium
Lineage: Bacteria
Description: partial 16S ribosomal RNA
Rfam family: Bacterial small subunit ribosomal RNA
Source: RNAcentral
GCGAACGCUGGCGGCAGGCUUCACACAUGCAAGUCGAGCGGGCAUAGCAAUAUGUCAGCGGCAGACGGGUGAGUAACGCGUGGGAACGUACCUUUUGGUUCGGAACAACUGAGGGAAACUUCAGCUAAUACCGGAUAAGCCCUCACGGGGAAAGAUUUAUCGCCGAAAGAUCGGCCCGCGUCUGAUUAGCUAGUUGGUGAGGUAAUGGCUCACCAAGGCGACGAUCAGUAGCUGGUCUGAGAGGAUGAUCAGCCACAUUGGGACUGAGACACGGCCCAAACUCCUACGGGAGGCAGCAGUGGGGAAUAUUGGACAAUGGGCGCAAGCCUGAUCCAGCCAUGCCGCGUGAGUGAUGAAGGCCCUAGGGUUGUAAAGCUCUUUUGUGCGGGAAGAUAAUGACGGUACCGCAAGAAUAAGCCCCGGCUAACUUCGUG